This 497-nucleotide ribosomal RNA is filed under the name uncultured bacterium. Its description in RNAcentral is "partial 16S ribosomal RNA". It matches the Rfam family "Bacterial small subunit ribosomal RNA", at positions 28 to 507 of the family's 1533-position model. The record is from RNAcentral.
GACGAACGCUGGCGGCGUGCCUAAUACAUGCAAGUCGAGCGAACAGACGAGGAGCUUGCUCCUCUGACGUUAGCGGCGGACGGGUGAGUAACACGUGGAUAACCUACCUAUAAGACUGGGAUAACUUCGGGAAACCGGAGCUAAUACCGGAUAAUAUAUUGAACCGCAUGGUUCAAUAGUGAAAGACGGUUUUGCUGUCACUUAUAGAUGGAUCCGCGCCGCAUUAGCUAGUUGGUAAGGUAACGGCUUACCAAGGCAACGAUGCGUAGCCGACCUGAGAGGGUGAUCGGCCACACUGGAACUGAGACACGGUCCAGACUCCUACGGGAGGCAGCAGUAGGGUAUCUUCCGCAAUGGGCGAAAGCCUGACGGAGCAACGCCGCGUGAGUGAUGAAGGUCUUCGGAUCGUAAAACUCUGUUAUUAGGGAAGAACAAAUGUGUAAGUAACUAUGCACGUCUUGACGGUACCUAAUCAGAAAGCCACGGCUAACUACGUG